This is a long non-coding RNA of Cervus elaphus (red deer), 522 nucleotides long. RefSeq lists it as uncharacterized. NCBI's taxonomy places the organism in Eukaryota, Metazoa, Chordata, Mammalia, Artiodactyla, Cervidae. The record is from RefSeq and is a predicted model, not a curated record. The transcript has 2 exons.
UGCGCGCGCUUCGGCGGCAAGCUCAGAGGCCAGAAGGGGAGGUGGGAGAGGGAGGGGGAGGACUUCGGCGCAGGCGCAGUGAGCCGUCUCCUGGCCCGCUGGACAGCGGCUGUCUGGCUGUUGGCCAUGGUCCGGGAGCGGACUGGGGAACUGGAGCCCCCAAGAGAGUGACUCCUCGAGGCCGAUCUUUCCAGGUCACCAGGUUGGAACAAGCACCUACUGCAAGGACAGAUACUGAAACCCCCUCCAGGUGGGAGAAGCUGACAGUGAACGAUGGUAUGCUGCCCUCGAGCAUGCAGACCCCAGACCAGUUGGAACCUGAAGGUUGAUGGUGCUGACUUCCACUCACCUCAUGACCAACCCCUCAGAAGAAUAUCCACAAGCUGAUCAUGCCCUCUUUGAACCAUUACUGUAAAACUUCUCACUGUCCUCUCUAAGUGGGGACAUGUAGAUUUUCAAGGCAGGAGCCCACUGUGUCCCCCUUUGCCUGGCAAAGUAAUAAAGCUCUCCUUUUCUACUUUA